GUCUAUGGUCAUGCCACCCUGAACAAGCCCAAUGUCUGAUCUCAGAAGCAAAGCAGGGUCAGGCCUGGUUAGUACUUGGAUGGAAGACCACCUGAGAAGACCAGGUGCUGUAGGCA
This 116-nucleotide ribosomal RNA is filed under the name Pteropus alecto (black flying fox). Lineage: Eukaryota; Metazoa; Chordata; Mammalia; Chiroptera; Pteropodidae. The record is from RNAcentral. RNAcentral also lists the same sequence under 1 other name.